CUAACAUCGUAUACAUAUGUAAUCUAACAAGCUAAAAUCUGACCGACCGUCUUUAUAGUAAGUGGCAAAGGACUUGGUAGUUGGUACCCGAGAUUCAAGUUCGAAUUCUAAUUAAUUCACAUUUCCAGCUAAGCUUAUUUCUAAAUGAAAUAAACGAAAUAGAUAGCGUGCUACCUAUUUUUCAAAAAAAAAAAAGGUAAAAUCUGGAUAAACUACCGCUCUCUCGUCCUAAAUUUUC
Molecule: long non-coding RNA, 238 nt
Filed under: Ananas comosus (pineapple)
Lineage: Eukaryota; Viridiplantae; Streptophyta; Magnoliopsida; Poales; Bromeliaceae
Description: long non-coding RNA (ACOM_LNC025281)
Source: RNAcentral